AGAGUUUGAUCCUGGCUCAGAACGAACGCUGGGGGCGUGCUUAACACAUGCAAGUCGAACGUGAUCCAGAGCUUGCUCUGGUGAAAGUGGCGCACGGGUGAGUAACGCGUGGAUAACCUGCCCUGGUAUCUGGGAUAACAUCUCGAAACGGGUGCUAAUACCGGAUAAGCCUACGGACUCUUCGGAGUCUGCAGGAAAAGGUGGCCUCUAUUUAUAAGCUACCGUAUCAGGAUGAGUCCGCGUACCAUUAACUAGUUGGUGGGGUAAUGGCCCACCAAGGCUACGAUGGUUAGCUGGUCUGAGAGGAUGAUCAGCCACACUGGAACUGAGACACGGUCCAGACUCCUACGGGAGGCAGCAGUGGGGAAUUUUGCGCAAUGGGGGAAACCCUGACGCAGCAACGCCGCGUGAGUGAUGAAGGCUUUCGGGUCGUAAAGCUCUGUCGGAGGGGAAGAAAUGGAAACGGUUAAUACCCGUUUUUCUUGACGGUACCCUCAAAGGAAGCACCGGCUAACUCCGUGCCAGCAGCCGCGGUAAUUC
This 540-nucleotide ribosomal RNA is filed under the name uncultured bacterium. RNAcentral's name for it is "bacterial SSU rRNA". It matches the Rfam family "Bacterial small subunit ribosomal RNA", at positions 8 to 526 of the family's 1533-position model. The record is from RNAcentral.